This is a long non-coding RNA of Cottoperca gobio, 608 nucleotides long. The record is from Ensembl. NCBI's taxonomy places the organism in Eukaryota, Metazoa, Chordata, Actinopteri, Perciformes, Bovichtidae.
GCACGGGACAAGGAGUGGCUUUAACCAGCUACAACAUACAGUGUACAGUGUGCUUGUUGGUGAUUGUUUUAUUAUGUGCUCUACAGCCAUGAAAACUAUGGUGGUAAAUAUUAAAUCAUGUCUUAUCACUGUACAUAAUAAAUGCACAUUUAUACAGUUCUAGUAACAUCAGAACAAAAGCAUCGAUCCUUCUCGCUGGAGGCAUUUCACUUCCUCAUCUUCCACUACUUAAAUCCUUAUUUAACCUGCAGCACGUACAUAGUAUGUGAUGGUGUAAGAACAAAGUCUAUGAUUAUUGUAUGCGUAUCUUAAUAAAUGCACUGGGUGGUAAAAUGAUCGAAUAUUUAGAAGUUUUCGACAAGGCUCCGAGUUCUUCAUCUUUUUCCUCAACAACUGCGACACCACUAAGAAACAAGAGGCCGACUACAUCAGUUAGUUACACGAGCACUCCAGUUCACUAUUUUGACACAGAUCUGAGACGAGAUAUGGCUUCGAUCGGCCAACGUGCCUCAGUCAACAUGAACGUGGCAGAAGCUCAAAUCCCCACAAAAAGGGCAAGAAUGGACCAAGAUCCAGUGAGCAAGAAGACGAAUGAACGGAUAAAUGGA